GCUCAGAACUCAGGAAUUGACGGGGCCGCACAAGCGGUGGAGCAUGUGGUUUAAUUCGAUGAUACGCGAGGAACCUUACCUGGGCUCAAAUGUAUGUUGACGUAUUCUGAAAGGGAUACUUCUUCGGACAAUAUACAAGGUGCUGCAUGGUUGUCGUCAGCUCGUGCCGUGAGGUGUCGGGUUAAGUCCCAUAACGAGCGCAACCCCUAUCAUUAGUUGCCAUCAGGUCAAGCUGGGGACUCUAAUGAAACUGCCUACGCAAGUAGUGAGGAAGGUGGGGAUGACGUCAAAUCAGCACGGCCCUUACGUCCAGGGCUACACACGUGCUACAAUGGCCGGUACAAAGGGCAGCUACCUGGUGACAGGAUGCUAAUCUCAAAAGCCGGUCGUAGUCCGGAUCGCAGUCUGCAACUCGACUGCGUGAAGUCGGAAUCGCUAGUAAUCGUGAAUCAGAAUGUCACGGUGAAUACGUUCCCGGGCCUU
Molecule: ribosomal RNA, 483 nt
Filed under: uncultured Sphingobacteriales bacterium
Lineage: Bacteria; Pseudomonadati; Bacteroidota; Sphingobacteriia; Sphingobacteriales
Description: bacterial SSU rRNA
Rfam family: Bacterial small subunit ribosomal RNA
Source: RNAcentral